Hippocampus zosterae (dwarf seahorse) is the source of this 397-nucleotide long non-coding RNA. RefSeq lists it as uncharacterized. NCBI's taxonomy places the organism in Eukaryota, Metazoa, Chordata, Actinopteri, Syngnathiformes, Syngnathidae. The record is from RefSeq and is a predicted model, not a curated record. The transcript has 2 exons.
GGGAUGGUUCAGAAGCACAUAGAGGAAGUCGCGGAGUUUGGUUGUGAUGCAGGAGUUCUACAAGGAUAAAGCCAGCGCAGUCUUUCAAUGAAUGCUCGUGCUCUGAGGAUGAGGAACCAAGAUUCUGUUUUGGACAGAGGGCAUCGGUGAUAGAAAGAAGUUCACUCUCGGGGAUGGUGGGGACCAGCAGGCGCAGGAGCUCAAGGAGAACCUCAACAGGCACGCGACACUGUUUUACCAGUUCGGAUGCGAAAAGCAGGUCCUGAAAUACAGAAGUGAGCACAGAGAAGAACUUUGCCGUUAAACGCACACCCUUUUUUGCUGCCGUCCUAUGAAAAGCGUUUGAACCUGGUCGCAGUUGGAAUAAAGUCUCUUGAGCGCCAUUUGCUCUCUCAGA